GACGAACGCUGGCGGCGUGCUUAACACAUGCAAGUCGAACGGAAAGGCCCUGCUUUUGUGGGGUGCUCGAGUGGCGAACGGGUGAGUAACACGUGAGUAACCUGCCCUGGACUUUGGGAUAACUUCAGGAAACUGGGGCUAAUACCGGAUAGGAGCUCCUGCUGCAUGGUGGGGGUUGGAAAGUUUCGGCCGUUGGUGAUGGACUCGCGGCUUAUCAGCUUGUUGGUGGGGUAGUGGCUUACCAAGGGUUUGACGGGUGGCCGGCCUGAGAGGUUGACCGGCCCCAUUGGGACUGAGAUAGGGACCAGACUCGUACGGGAGGCAGCAGUGGGAACUAUUGCCCAGUGGGCGGAAGCCUGAUGCAGCAACGCCGCGUGCGGGAUGACGGCCCUCGGGUUGUAAACCGCUUUCGCCUGUGACGAAGCGUGAGUGACGGUAAUGGGUAAAGAAGCACCGGCUAACUACGUG
RNAcentral lists this ribosomal RNA (468 nucleotides) under uncultured bacterium. RNAcentral's name for it is "partial 16S ribosomal RNA". It matches the Rfam family "Bacterial small subunit ribosomal RNA", at positions 28 to 507 of the family's 1533-position model. The record is from RNAcentral.